Molecule: ribosomal RNA, 438 nt
Filed under: Fusarium sp. NTLF08
Lineage: Eukaryota; Fungi; Ascomycota; Sordariomycetes; Hypocreales; Nectriaceae
Description: eukaryotic LSU rRNA
Rfam family: 5.8S ribosomal RNA (bases 83-236)
Source: RNAcentral
GUAAAACGGGGCGGCCCGCCGCAGGACCCAUAAACCCUGAAUUUUUAUUGUAACUUCUGAGUUUAAAAAACAAAUAAAUCAAAACUUUCAACAACGGAUCUCUUGGUUCUGGCAUCGAUGAAGAACGCAGCAAAAUGCGAUAAGUAAUGUGAAUUGCAGAAUUCAGUGAAUCAUCGAAUCUUUGAACGCACAUUGCGCCCGCCAGUAUUCUGGCGGGCAUGCCUGUUCGAGCGUCAUUUCAACCCUCAAGCCCCCGGGUUUGGUGUUGGGGAUCGGGCUGCGGUUCUGCCGCGUCCCGGCCCCGAAAUCUAGUGGCGGUCUCGCUGCAGCCUCCAUUGCGUAGUAGCUAACACCUCGCAACUGGAACGCGGCGCGGCCAAGCCGUUAAACCCCCAACUUCUGAAUGUGACCUCGGAUCAGGUAGAACCCGGCUUCCCC